GAUGAACGCUGGCGGCGUGCCUAAUACAUGCAAGUCGAGCGAACAGACGAGGAGCUUGCUCCUCUGACGUUAGCGGCGGACGGGUGAGUAACACGUGGAUAACCUACCUAUAAGACUGGGAUAACUUCGGGAAACCGGAGCUAAUACCGGAUAAUAUAUUGAACCGCAUGGUUCAAUAGUGAAAGACGGUUUUGCUGUCACUUAUAGAUGGAUCCGCGCCGCAUUAGCUAGUUGGUAAGGUAACGGCUUACCAAGGCAACGAUGCGUAGCCGACCUGUGAGGGUGAUCGGCCACACUGGAACUGGGACACGGUCCAGACUCCUACGGGAGGCAGCAGUAGGGAAUCUUACGCAAUGGGCGAAAGCCUGACGGAGCAACGCCGCGUGAGUGAUGAAGGUCUUCGGAUCGUAAAACUCUGUUAUUAGGGAAGAACAAAUGUGUAAGUAACUAUGCACGUCUUGACGGUACCUAAUCAGAAAGCCACGGCUAACUACGUG
Molecule: ribosomal RNA, 497 nt
Filed under: uncultured bacterium
Lineage: Bacteria
Description: partial 16S ribosomal RNA
Rfam family: Bacterial small subunit ribosomal RNA
Source: RNAcentral